This 506-nucleotide ribosomal RNA is filed under the name Oncopodiella trigonella. RNAcentral's name for it is "eukaryotic LSU rRNA". The stretch from base 149 to 302 matches the Rfam family "5.8S ribosomal RNA". Lineage: Eukaryota; Fungi; Ascomycota; Dothideomycetes; Oncopodiellales; Oncopodiellaceae. The record is from RNAcentral.
UUAAAGGGAAAUUUGGGGCUCGUCCCCGUCCUCCCAUCCGUGGAAACGCGAGGCCCCUUGCUACGUUACUUCGGCGGGGUUUUCCCGCCGAGCAGCAAGCACAAACUCUGUUUUAACGUGUCGUCUGAUGACAACGCAAAUAAGUCAAAACUUUCAACAACGGAUCUCUUGGUUCUGGCAUCGAUGAAGAACGCAGCGAAAUGCGAUAAGUAAUGUGAAUUGCAGAAUUCAGUGAAUCAUCGAAUCUUUGAACGCACAUUGCGCCCCAUGGUAUUCCAUCGGGCACACCCGUUCGAGCGUCAUUGCAACACUCAGGCACCGCCUGGUAUUGGGCGCCGCCCGUCGAGGGCGCGCCUCAAACUCCUCGGCGUCGCCGUCCGUCCUCGAGCGCAGCGAGAACUCUUCCAGCGCUACCGAGGCGGGCCGUGGCCGCCGCAACGCACAAUUCUUUCAAUGUUGACCUCGGAUCGGGUGGGGAUACCCGCUGAACUUAAGCAUAUCAAUAA